This is a long non-coding RNA of Mya arenaria, 330 nucleotides long. RefSeq lists it as uncharacterized. The record is from RefSeq and is a predicted model, not a curated record. NCBI's taxonomy places the organism in Eukaryota, Metazoa, Mollusca, Bivalvia, Myida, Myidae. The transcript has 3 exons.
GUGCCUUCGUCAUAAAUACAGAACAGUUUUCCAAUUGAUAACUCUGCAAUGUGAUGUCCCUAAAACAAAUGUACCUGUGAGACUUUAUUUGUUGACAUUUACUGGUGAACGAGUCCUACCGGAAGUUAUUGCGGCUAAUUGAGACGAAGACGGCAUACAUAUUAUAUCAGAAUAUACAUACUGAAGGUGACAUAGAGUCAUUGCAGUUAGAGGUAAUUGCAAGUACUGAGGAAUCCUCAACAUCACUUGAGUUCAAAGAGUUUAAGAAAACUUAUGAUGAGCUGAAGGGAGCCUUUGGUCGAUUCAAAGAGGAACACUUAAUGAGAGAAG